CUUGGUCAUUUAGAGGAAGUAAAAGUCGUAACAAGGUUUCCGUAGGUGAACCUGCGGAAGGAUCAUUCAUAAUAAGUGUUUUAUGGCACUUUUUAAAUCCAUAUCCACCUUGUGUGCAAUGUCAGUUGUUCUCUUUUUUGAGAAUGACCAAACAUCAACUUAUUCUUUAACUCUUUGUCUGAAAAAUAUUAUGAAUAAAAUAAUUCAAAAUACAACUUUCAACAACGGAUCUCUUGGCUCUCGCAUCGAUGAAGAACGCAGCGAAAUGCGAUACGUAAUGUGAAUUGCAGAAUUCAGUGAAUCAUCGAAUCUUUGAACGCAUAUUGCGCUCUUUGGUAUUCCGAAGAGCAUGCUUGUUUGAGUAUCAGUAAACACCUCAAAGACUUCAAUUUGUUUUGAAUGGCUUUGGACUUGAGCAAUCCCAACACCAGUCUUUACGAUCGGUGGAGGGUUGCUUGAAAUGCAGGUGCAGCUGGACAUUCUCCUGAGCUAAAAGCAUAUUUAUUUAGUCCCGUCAAACGGAUUAUUACUUUUGCUGCAGCUAACAUAAAGGGAGUUUGACCGUAUUGGCUGACUGAUGCAGGAUUUCACAAGGGUCGGCAACGAUUCUUGUAAAACUCGAUCUCAAAUCAAGUAAGACUACCCGCUGAACUUAAGCAUAUCAAUAAGCGGAGGAAAAGAAACUAACAAGGAUUCCCCUAGUAACGGCGAGUGAAGCGGGAUGAGCUCAAAUUUAAAAUCUGGCUGGUUUACUAGUCCGAAUUGUAGUUUAUAGAAGCGUUUUCGGUGGCAGCCUGGGCAUAAGUCCUUUGGAAUAGGGUAUCAUAGAGGGUGAGAAUCCCGUCUUUGACUCAGUGCAUGCUACUAUGUGAUACGUUUUCAAAGAGUCGAGUUGUUUGGGAAU
RNAcentral lists this small RNA (904 nucleotides) under uncultured zygomycete. Its description in RNAcentral is "eukaryotic LSU rRNA". The stretch from base 620 to 904 matches the Rfam family "Eukaryotic large subunit ribosomal RNA", at positions 1 to 281 of the family's 3401-position model. Lineage: Eukaryota; Fungi. The record is from RNAcentral.